This 251-nucleotide long non-coding RNA is filed under the name Eucalyptus grandis. RNAcentral describes it as "long non-coding RNA (EGRA_LNC006372)". The record is from RNAcentral. Lineage: Eukaryota; Viridiplantae; Streptophyta; Magnoliopsida; Myrtales; Myrtaceae.
GAAGCGCGACCCCGUGGCACCGCGCAUCUGCGUGUCGUCACUGCUGCAAUCCGAGCGACCCACUACGCCAAGCCGCCGUCCUCCUGCCCAAGCUUCCCACUCGAGCGCCCCGACGCCAGCAGAUCUUAUCCGGUCGCGACGGCGCGACCGCCCUGCAGCAGCCGAGCUCCCGUCGCCGUCCGAGCCGCCACCGCCCUCCGUCCCAACGAGCUGCUUGCUGACCGUCGCUGAACCGCCGCCUUCUUGCUGCU